GACGAACGCUGGCGGUGUGCUUAACACAUGCAAGUCGAACGGUAAGGCUCCAGCUUGCUGGGGUACACGAGUGGCGAACGGGUGAGUAACACGUGGGUGACCUGCCCUGCACUUCGGGAUAAGCCUGGGAAACUGGGUCUAAUACCGGAUAGGACCGCACCGUGAGGGUGUGGUGGAAAGUUUUUUCGGUGUGGGAUGGGCCCGCGGCCUAUCAGCUUGUUGGUGGGGUAAUGGCCUACCAAGGCGGCGACGGGUAGCCGGCCUGAGAGGGUGGACGGCCACAUUGGGACUGAGACACGGCCCAGACUCCUACGGGAGGCAGCAGUGGGGAAUAUUGCACAAUGGGCGGAAGCCUGAUGCAGCGACGCCGCGUGGGGGAUGACGGCCUUCGGGUUGUAAACUCCUUUCACCAUCGACGAAGGGUUUCUGACGGUAGAUGGAGAAGAAGCACCGGCUAACUACGUGCCAGCAGCCGCGGUAAUACGUAGGGUGCGAGCGUUGUCCGGAAUUACUGGGCGUAAAGAGCUCGUAGGUGGUUUGUCGCGUCGUCUGUGAAAUUCCGGGGCUUAACUCCGGGCGUGCAGGCGAUACGGGCAUAACUUGAGUACUGUAGGGGAGACUGGAAUUCCUGGUGUAGCGGUGAAAUGCGCAGAUAUCAGGAGGAACACCGGUGGCGAAGGCGGGUCUCUGGGCAGUAACUGACGCUGAGGAGCGAAAGCAUGGGGAGCGAACAGGAUUAGAUACCCUGGUAGUCCAUGCCGUAAACGGUGGGCGCUAGGUGUGGGUUUCCUUCCACGGGAUCCGUGCCGUAGCUAACGCAUUAAGCGCCCCGCCUGGGGAGUACGGCCGCAAGGCUAAAACUCAAAGGAAUUGACGGGGGCCCGCACAAGCGGCGGAGCAUGUGGAUUAAUUCGAUGCAACGCGAAGAACCUUACCUGGGCUUGACAUAUACAGGAUCGCGCCAGAGAUGGUGUUUCCCUUGUGGCUUGUAUACAGGUGGUGCAUGGUUGUCGUCAGCUCGUGUCGUGAGAUGUUGGGUUAAGUCCCGCAACGAGCGCAACCCUUGUCUUAUGUUGCCAGCACGUUGUGGUGGGGACUCGUAAGAAACUGCCGGGGUUAACUCGGAGGAAGGUGGGGAUGACGUCAAAUCAUCAUGCCCCUUAUGCCCAGGGCUUCACACAUGCUACAAUGGUCGGUACAGUGGGUUGCCAGUCCGUGAGGGCGAGCUAAUCCCGCAAAGCCGGUCUCAGUUCGGAUCGGGGUCUGCAACUCGACCCCGUGAAGUCGGAGUCGCUAGUAAUCGCAGAUCAGCAACGCUGCGGUGAAUACGAUCCCGGGCC
This 1340-nucleotide ribosomal RNA is filed under the name uncultured bacterium. Its description in RNAcentral is "partial 16S ribosomal RNA". It matches the Rfam family "Bacterial small subunit ribosomal RNA", at positions 28 to 1380 of the family's 1533-position model. The record is from RNAcentral.